This 587-nucleotide ribosomal RNA is filed under the name Filobasidium stepposum. Its description in RNAcentral is "partial large subunit ribosomal RNA". It matches the Rfam family "Eukaryotic large subunit ribosomal RNA", at positions 86 to 659 of the family's 3401-position model. Lineage: Eukaryota; Fungi; Basidiomycota; Tremellomycetes; Filobasidiales; Filobasidiaceae. The record is from RNAcentral.
ACGGCGAGUGAAGCGGGAAGAGCUCAAAUUUGAAAUCUGGUGGCCUCAGGUCAUCCGAGUUGUAAUCUAUAGAAGUGUUUUCCGUGCUGGCUCAUGUACAAGUCCCUUGGAACAGGGCGUCAUAGAGGGUGAGAAUCCCGUCCUUGACAUGAACUACCAGUGCUCUGUGAUACAUUUUCAACGAGUCGAGUUGUUUGGGAAUGCAGCUCAAAAUGGGUGGUAAAUUCCAUCUAAAGCUAAAUAUUGGCGAGAGACCGAUAGCGAACAAGUACCGUGAGGGAAAGAUGAAAAGCACUUUGGAAAGAGAGUUAAACAGUAUGUGAAAUUGUUAAAAGGGAAACGAUUGAAGUCAGUCGUGCUCUUUGGAUUCAGCCGGUUCUGCCGGUGUACUUCCUUUGAGUGGGGUCAACAUCAGUUUUGAUCGCUGGAUAAAGGCUGGAGGAACGUAGCACCCCCGGGUGAACUUAUAGCCUCCUGUCACAUACAGUGGUUGGGACUGAGGAACGCAGCACGCCUUUAUGGCCAGGAUCCGUCCAUGUACGUGCUUAGGAUGUUGACAUAAUGGCUUUAAACGACCCGUCUUGAAC